Molecule: long non-coding RNA, 529 nt
Filed under: Equus caballus (horse)
Lineage: Eukaryota; Metazoa; Chordata; Mammalia; Perissodactyla; Equidae
Description: lncRNA (ENSECAG00000049997.1)
Source: RNAcentral
GGCCCAUGCACUUCGAAGCUCCCUGCAGUCUCCCUUCUGUCUUCCCCCGCCCUCACUCCCGGCUGGUUUAUGGCAGAGAUGGGUAGGGCGGGGGACUCUUCGGCCUGGCAUCCCUGCAGCCAGCUGGCUCAGCCUUCAAGGAGGCCCCGGCUGAACCUCGCGUCACCCCGCUGAAGCGCGCGGCCAAGCGCUCCGGCGAGAGAAAGGCCUUUUUUGGUAACACUCAGCCCCGCGCUUUAGGAUACUUCCUACCACCACUGCCCCACCCACCCUUCGACGCGGCUGCCUCGGUUUCCCGGACCAGCAGUGUGUGCACACGACCCCGUGGUCUGCAACUACCAGAGCGUUCCAAACGAGUCCGAAGCCUCGGCUCCUCUCCCCGCACCUCCCCCUCCUGGAGCCCUCGGUGGCCCGCUGACGUUUCCUGGACGUUGUGAACUCGCACCUGCAGGAAAUCUGGGUCUUUCUAAAGGCGUCUUCUUGCAGCAGAGGCAACCGAGUCCCUCAGAACCGUGGGCUUUCGAGUGAG